AUGUAUCCCGUACACGCCGGUUCCUCCGCCGCCCCCAGCCACCUGACGAGUGCUCGCCACGUGUUGUUAGCA
This 72-nucleotide small RNA is filed under the name Xanthomonas campestris pv. campestris. RNAcentral describes it as "sX9 sRNA". It matches the Rfam family "Xanthomonas sRNA sX9". The record is from RNAcentral. Lineage: Bacteria; Pseudomonadati; Pseudomonadota; Gammaproteobacteria; Lysobacterales; Lysobacteraceae.